AUGGCAAUCAUUCCAGCAAUGCCGACAAGCACACCUUUGAACACAAGCACUGGCAACACUCAAGUAGAUGAAACUGCCGCCGAUACUGAAGUGAAUGAUGAAACUGAUGACGAAGCACAAGGGGAUGAAGAUGGUGGGCAAUCAGAAAUCAUGGUACCUCAGCCACCGAAAAUUAAAAAAUCUAACGAGUACAGCAGAGGUGAGAUGAGGUGCUACAAGGCACGAAGGAACAAGAAGGGUAAAGGUGUUGCGCCUGUCGUUCUGGAACAAAAGAGAGGUAUCAUUCUCAAGACGGAAUGCCCUGUUCGGUUUCGACCUGGUAAAAAUUUUGACCGCCCACAGAGGAUUCACCCCCUCGAGAAGAAAUUCAUAAAGCUGCUACAUGAUUGUAACGUCGGUCCAUCAAGAAUGGUCCAGAUACUAUCACUCAUCCACAGCAAAAAUGGGACUCUGAGUAGCAUGCCCUACAUACCAGCUGACAUCACAAACCUAAAGGCAAAGUACCGUAGAGAGAGCAAGUUGGCUGACAUAGAGGCCACAAUGGCCUACUUCGAUGAGAAAGCGAAGGAAGAUCCAGAUUUCUUCUAUAGGAUAAGAUUGGAUGAUGAGGACCGUGUCAGGAACAUGUAUUGGGUGGAUGGUGCUGCAAGAAGAGCCUACAAACAUUUCCGAGAUUGCAUUUCAUUCGACGCGACAUAUCUCACUAAUAUGUACAAGAUGCCAUGCGCUCCAUUCAUAGGAAUAAAUAACCACAAUCAGUCAUUGCAGUUCGGAUGCAGACUCGUUCGGAACAAAGACACGGAUGGCUACACUUGGUUGUUCAAGACCUUAUUGGAGUGUAUGGAUGGAAUUGCUCUGAUGAACAUAAUAACAGACCAGGAUUUUAGCAUGCGUGCAGGUAUAGAGGAGGUCUUUCCGUUGGCAGUGCACAGGCAUUGCAGGUGGCACAUUAUAAAGAAGGCUGAGGAGACGCUAGGACCAUUCUUUGUUGACUGUCCAGAGCUGCACAAGGCACUCGAGUUGUGCGUGGACCACAGCUUGACAGUGGAGGAGUUUGAAAGGAGCUGGAUGGCCAUGAUUGAAACAUAUCAAGUCCAAGACAACGAGACGCUUGCUAACCUAUGGGAGAAGCGAAUGUACUGGGUGUCGGCCUACUUCAUGCAGUGCUUCUUCCCGUUUCUACAGACUACGCAGCGUAGCAAGGGGUUCAAUGCUGUUUUGAAGCGGUACGUGAGCCCUGGCAACUCAUUGCUAUAG
This 1257-nucleotide ribosomal RNA is filed under the name Triticum aestivum (bread wheat). RNAcentral describes it as "partial small subunit ribosomal RNA". The record is from RNAcentral. Lineage: Eukaryota; Viridiplantae; Streptophyta; Magnoliopsida; Poales; Poaceae.